CUCUCGCCAGAGCACUACGAGCCACAGCUUAAAACUCAAAGGACCUGGCGGCGCCCUACAUCCAUCUAGAGGAGCCUGUUCUAUAAUCGACAUCCCCCGAUAAACCUCACCACCUCUUGCUAAUACAGUUUAUAUACCACCGCCUCAGUGUACCUUUUAAAAGAAUAAAAGUGAACGAAAUAAUUUUAAAUAAAAAAGUCAGGUCAAGGUGUAGCAAAUGAGCUGGAAAGAAAUGGGCUACAUUUUUUAUUUUAAAAAACACGGAAUAUUUUAUGAAAUAAAAUAUGAAGGAGGAUUUAGAAGUAAAAAGAAAAAAGAGUGUUCUUUUUAAAUAGGCAAUAGAGCACGCACACACCGCCCGUCACCCUCUUUAAAAAUAAUUAGACCUAAUUACAAAAGAGGAAAGUCGUAACAUGGUAAGUCUACCGGAAGGUGGCCUUGGAUAUAGAAUAUAGCUUAAAAUAAAGCAUUUUGUUUACACCAAAAAAAUAUUUGUUUAACCAAAUUAUUCUGAAUUUUAAAUCUAGCCCAAACAUAAUAAUUAUACACCACCCAAUA
Molecule: unclassified non-coding RNA, 558 nt
Filed under: Desmognathus wrighti (pygmy salamander)
Lineage: Eukaryota; Metazoa; Chordata; Amphibia; Caudata; Plethodontidae
Description: partial contains 12S ribosomal RNA, tRNA-Val and 16S ribosomal RNA
Rfam family: tRNA (bases 446-514)
Source: RNAcentral